GACAGAGGGGGCAAGCGUUGCUCGGAAUUACUGGGCGUAAAGGGCGCGUAGGCGGGAUGGCAAGUCGGUCGUGAAAUCCCUCGGCUCAACUGAGGAGCGUCGAUCGAAACUGCCGUUCUUGAGGGUUGCAGAGGAGACUGGAAUUCCCGGUGUAGCGGUGAAAUGUGUAGAGAUCGGGAGGAACACCGGUGGCGAAGGCGGGUCUCUGGGCAACUCCUGACGCUGAGGAGCGAAAGCGUGGGGAGCAAACAGG
This 253-nucleotide ribosomal RNA is filed under the name uncultured bacterium. RNAcentral's name for it is "partial 16S ribosomal RNA". It matches the Rfam family "Bacterial small subunit ribosomal RNA", at positions 524 to 776 of the family's 1533-position model. The record is from RNAcentral.